GACGAACGCUGGCGGCGUGCCUAAUACAUGCAAGUGGGACGCAAGGAAACACACUGUGCUUGCACACCGUGUUUUCUUGAGUCGCGAACGGGUGAGUAACGCGUAGGUAACCUGCCUAUUAGCGGGGGAUAACUAUUGGAAACGAUAGCUAAUACCGCAUAAUAUUAAUUAUUGCAUGAUAAUUGAUUGAAAGAUGCAAGCGCAUCACUAGUAGAUGGACCUGCGUUGUAUUAGCUAGUUGGUAAGGUAAGAGCUUACCAAGGCGACGAUACAUAGCCGACCUGAGAGGGUGAUCGGCCACACUGGGACUGAGACACGGCCCAGACUCCUACGGGAGGCAGCAGUAGGGAAUCUUCGGCAAUGGACGCAAGUCUGACCGAGCAACGCCGCGUGAGUGAAGAAGGUUUUCGGAUCGUAAAGCUCUGUUGUAAGUCAAGAACGUGUGUGAGAGUGGAAAGUUCACACAGUGACGGUAGCUUACCAGAAAGGGACGGCUAACUACGUG
This 505-nucleotide ribosomal RNA is filed under the name uncultured bacterium. RNAcentral describes it as "partial 16S ribosomal RNA". It matches the Rfam family "Bacterial small subunit ribosomal RNA", at positions 28 to 507 of the family's 1533-position model. The record is from RNAcentral.